RNAcentral lists this long non-coding RNA (248 nucleotides) under Elaeis guineensis (African oil palm). RNAcentral's name for it is "long non-coding RNA (EGUI_LNC003956)". The record is from RNAcentral. Lineage: Eukaryota; Viridiplantae; Streptophyta; Magnoliopsida; Arecales; Arecaceae.
AAAAGAGGCCAAAACAGGGAUCUCUUUUCCGACCAAGAAUCGGCGACUCCUGUCGCCGGCAGCCGUGCACAAAGGCACGGGAGGAAGGGGAAGGAAGAGAGGAAGAGAAGGGGAACUCACCUUGGCCUCCGGUGACCUCAUCGGUGAGCAGUCACGGCGAGAACAAGGCGGGUGUCCGCGGCUCUAAUUCGAGAAAAUCGGAGAGGAAGAGAGGGGAAAAGGGCCGAUGAUCGGCUCCUAAGGAAGGG